CUCAAUAUCUUCACUCAACUCAUUAACUGCCCGAAGGUAUUUAUUUAUUUUCUUAUAUUUGUCAGUGGAAUUCCAAGAAUUUAGUUUCCUGUUUUUUGUUUUUUUUAUUGGGUUCAGACUGUAUUCAGAUUGUAUUCUGCCCAAUUAUGUUCCCCUACUCCCUACUCCUUUUUUCUCAAUUAUAUUUUCCACUUUUCUCAGACAAUUAGACACCAAUAAUGACUUGUAUUUGCAGUGUAAUUUGCAUUUGUGUGUUAUAUGUGAAUCCUUCCUUCCGCUGUAUUUUCUCAGGGAAUUCAGAUACCUCCACAGCCCGAGCAGACAAAGUUAAGUGUCAAACUCCUCGUGGCUCCGGUCAUUGUGUCUCCUGCUGAGCGGUGUGUGUUACGUCCCACACGUCACCGUUGCACCCUGAGAU
This is a non-coding RNA of Pelobates cultripes (western spadefoot toad), 418 nucleotides long. NCBI's taxonomy places the organism in Eukaryota, Metazoa, Chordata, Amphibia, Anura, Pelobatidae. The record is from the annotation of a GenBank genome assembly.